UACAAAACAAGAAGUCAACGCUUUGGCGCUGUAUAGUUACAAAUUUACAUUCAGUAUAGUUUUAAACUCAGAGACCAAACCUGUCUUUAGACCGAAACUUUUGUUGGCUUCCCAAAAAUGUGUGCAAGUUAUAAAAUUGAAAAAGUGGUAUUGAAAUUGAAAAUGUUUUGUCAUCGUAAAACAUUUAUUUGUGCUAUUAUUUCUAUGUUGGAAAAUGAUAACCUAAUCUGGUCAAAGGAAAUGACGUUUGUUUGAUGUUUUUUAUUCUCAAUCUAUUUUAAUUCGGCAACUUAUAAAAGUGGAAAUGUGAAAACAAAAGGAAAAAUAAAUUAUUACAUUUAAAUAGUUAACUUUCACGUACAAACAAUACGAACGGCUAAAAAAUGUUUGUAUAUCGAUCAAGAAAGUACGAAAUGAAGUUGGCGCAGGAUAACAAUGAUAAAUCAUGUAAAAUUGAGCUACAGAUCAGCUCACGCUUCGCACAGAUGAGGCGAAUCAGUUAACCGCAUCGGAUUAAUUUGUACCUGCAUAGAAGUAGGAUAUGCGAGCUGCAAGUCACCGGACAGUACGCAAAACAUAAUCACCUAGUUAUAGUACAGGAAAUUGGGCAGCGAGAUGCUAAUUUGUUGUUGAGCCGCAGCUCAAUGGUUGUCUUUGUUAGCUCAUCUGUCAAACCGGUUCACUGCUGAUUUACUUCCCAAGAGUCACAUAUGAGCGGCGUAUCAGUCUGUCAGUACACGAGAGGAGAUACAAGUCUCAACAAGUCUCAAAGAGGUUUUUAGCUGGAAAUCAACAAAAAGCUGGAAUUGGGAUUAGACCUUUGCCACAUUAUUACACCUCGUUUGUCCAGCGACUCCUGGGACCUGCAACUAGUCAUUAUAACAUAAAGGCAGAGUUGAGGCAGGAAGGGCGGCGAGGGUGUUUCUUAGUUUAGGAACGCGCGCCGACUGCCGCGCGUGCAACGUCGAGCGUCGAAAUCAAGACUUCCUUAGUUACAACUAUAUUGCGAGGAACGUUUCAAACGUAGUCGGAGACGUAUUGGUGACUGAAGAUAACAUAAUUUUAUUUUACACUCUCACUGUAUAUAUUUUAUUAUUUAUUAAUCACGGCUACGAUUCAUUAAU
This is a long non-coding RNA of Papilio polytes (common Mormon), 1124 nucleotides long. RefSeq lists it as uncharacterized. Lineage: Eukaryota; Metazoa; Arthropoda; Insecta; Lepidoptera; Papilionidae. The record is from RefSeq and is a predicted model, not a curated record. The transcript is spliced from 4 exons.